GGGGUGGUGGCGCAGUUGGUUAACACGUAGGUAUCAUAGCUUGCACUGAGGAAUCCUGAGGUCGAGAGUUUGAGCCUCUCUCACCCCA
Molecule: non-coding RNA, 88 nt
Organism: Picea glauca (white spruce)
Lineage: Eukaryota; Viridiplantae; Streptophyta; Pinopsida; Pinales; Pinaceae
Source: Rfam